AUCUAAAACUUUUUUGACUUCAUACUCUUGAUUAUUAUUUACUUUUAUAUGACAAGGUGGUAUUUGUUGUCUUCUUGAUAUAUCUACUAUCUUAUAUGGUUCAAAAAAAGAUAUAUAGAAUAUAUGAUGAAUCUUCAAAGAUUUUGGUAGGUACAAUUGAUUAGCAAUUAGAUUAAUUUAUUUGCAUAUAAGAAAUGGUCAAAGUUUAUGAUAAUUCAACUUGUCACAUAGGUGAAUAGUCUUGAUAUUAUGACAAAGUAAUCAUAUCUUAUUGCCAACAUAGAAUUGAAGUUGUUUCCUGCUAUAAGCAUCUCUAUUGAUUUUUUGUCAUUCUUGAACAUCUUUUAGUGCACCUUAAUUGUUGUAUUUAGCUCUAAAAAAUGACUAAUCAAAUCAUUUGCUCUAAAUUUAAUAAUGUUUAAAAAGUCAAAAAUAU
Molecule: long non-coding RNA, 436 nt
Filed under: Physcomitrium patens
Lineage: Eukaryota; Viridiplantae; Streptophyta; Bryopsida; Funariales; Funariaceae
Description: long non-coding RNA (PPAT_LNC004381)
Source: RNAcentral